UUCCAGACUCCUACGGGAGGCAGCAGUGGGGAAUAUUGCACAAUGGGGGAAACCCUGAUGCAGCGACGCCGCGUGAAGGAUGAAGUAUUUCGGUAUGUAAACUUCUAUCAGCAGGGAAGAAAAUGACGGUACCUGACUAAGAAGCCCCGGCUAACUACGUGCCAGCAGCCGCGGUAAUACGUAGGGGGCAAGCGUUAUCCGGAUUUACUGGGUGUAAAGGGAGCGUAGACGGCAUGGCAAGUCUGAUGUGAAAACCAUGGGCUCAACCUGUGGCCUGCAUUUGAAACUGUUUUUCUUGAGUACUGGAGAGGCAGACGGAAUUCCUAGUGUAGCGGUGAAAUGCGUAGAUAUUAGGAGGAACACCAGUGGCGAAGGCGGUCUGCUGGACAGCAACUGACGCUGAGGCGCGAAAGCGUGGGGAGCAAACAGGAUUAGAUACCCCCGUACU
This 448-nucleotide ribosomal RNA is filed under the name uncultured bacterium. Its description in RNAcentral is "bacterial SSU rRNA". It matches the Rfam family "Bacterial small subunit ribosomal RNA", at positions 329 to 794 of the family's 1533-position model. The record is from RNAcentral.